UUCGGUGGUUAUAGCGGAGAGGAUCCACCCGUUCCCAUCCCGAACACGGAAGUUAAGCUCUCCAGCGCCGAUGGUACUGCCCCUUAAGGGGUGGGAGAGUAGGACGCCGCCGAAA
This 115-nucleotide ribosomal RNA is filed under the name delta proteobacterium MLS_D. Lineage: Bacteria; Deltaproteobacteria. The record is from RNAcentral.